GAUAUCUUGUGAACCCAUUGCCAAAAAUUCAAAGCGAUUUGAAGGGUCAUUCAGGGCAACUUUCGUAUAAAAUCUCUAAAAACUUUGUUCAAGAUGCUGGGAGUGCACAAGGUAACAGUUUCCGCAGAUUUGAUGGCAUUUCAUCAACUAGGGAAAUACUGAGGAAGCAGAAUAUCAGGUCAUCCGCUUAGAGAAGACGGAUUGCAGCAAGCAUCACAGACUACAAACCACUAAUUUGCUGAAAUCACUCUCCUUGCUUGUUGGUUUAGGUUGCAGUGCACAAGAUGUACUAUAGAUUUCUUCUCGUGUGCCUUUGGAAGGUUUUAGUUCUCUUCAAGGAAUUUCAGGCUCCCAGAAGUUUCAGACACAUAAAGCAUAUGGAAGUCCUGAUCACUUGCCUUCUGCUCAUACUUGAUAUAUCUUUUUGCCCUUUUCAAUUCAUUCACUAUACAUACAUAUUUGUUUUCUGUUUGGAUGAUUUAUAGCUGGCAUACUAUGUUAUCAUUUGGUCAUUCAUCAUCCUUUUCUUGGUGCAGUUUCAAUCAACUGGAUUUGCCGGAGUAUCCAUCUAAACAACAUUUGGAAGAGAGGUUACUGCUAGCGAUUCACGAAGCAAGUGAGGGAUUUGGAUUUGGUUAAAAUGUUGUAUUACAUUUUAGAGUAGGAGUUUUUUCAGAAUAUAAUGGAACAGUAUACCAGUUUAUUAUCCCAGGAUGUCAAUCGGUUCAUUAGUAGCUUGGUUGUUUGAGUAUUUUUAGUAAUGUGAUUAUGUAAGUACUUGUAACUAACUUUGUAAUAUUUUUUAGU
Vicia villosa (hairy vetch) is the source of this 807-nucleotide long non-coding RNA. RefSeq lists it as uncharacterized. The transcript is spliced from 3 exons. The record is from RefSeq and is a predicted model, not a curated record. NCBI's taxonomy places the organism in Eukaryota, Viridiplantae, Streptophyta, Magnoliopsida, Fabales, Fabaceae.